Long non-coding RNA from Gossypium raimondii (Peruvian cotton), 572 nucleotides. RefSeq lists it as uncharacterized. The record is from RefSeq and is a predicted model, not a curated record. Lineage: Eukaryota; Viridiplantae; Streptophyta; Magnoliopsida; Malvales; Malvaceae. The transcript has 2 exons.
AUAACUUAGUGUUUAAAUUAAAGCUAUUUUCAUUUGACAUUGCAAGGUAUGCAUGCGGGAUUACCAAAAUACAUAGCGGUUAACUUAAAAGACAUCGAAACAGCUGGAUUUCAAGACGGAGAUGAGGUGUCGUUGGAGACUUUAAAGGAGAAGGGUUUGAUCAACCCUUAAGGAAGAGAGAGGAAACUCCCUUUGAAGAUUCUCGGUGACGGGGAGCUGAAGGUAAAGCUGAACAUGAAGGCCCGUGCCCUUUAAGCAUCUGCAAAGGAAAAGCUUGAGGCUGCCAGUUGCUCUCUCACCGUACUGCCUGGGCGCAAGAAGUGGGUUAAGCCUUCAGUUGCAAAGAACCUUGCUCGAGCUGAGGAAUACUUGGCCAAGAAGAGGGCUGCAUCAUCAUCCGGCCCCACUUCUGCAUGAAUGGCAUGUAAUUGAUCUGCUCUGUUUUGAUAAAAUGUUGAGAGCAGUGAAGAGAAUUACUUUGUAUUCAUCUUUUUGGAGAACCCAGGGAGGGCUACUGGGUCACUGGGAUUCCUUUUAAUGCUUUCAAUCAUUAAGGUUCAUAUUGAUUUAAA